RNAcentral lists this ribosomal RNA (460 nucleotides) under uncultured bacterium. Its description in RNAcentral is "partial 16S ribosomal RNA". It matches the Rfam family "Bacterial small subunit ribosomal RNA", at positions 338 to 795 of the family's 1533-position model. The record is from RNAcentral.
CCUACGGGAGGCAGCAGUGAGGAAUAUUGGUCAAUGGACGAGAGUCUGAACCAGCCAAGUAGCGUGAAGGAUGACUGCCCUAUGGGUUGUAAACUUCUUUUAUAUGGGAAUAAAAUGUUCCACGUGUGGGAUUUUGUAUGUACCAUAUGAAUAAGGAUCGGCUAACUCCGUGCCAGCAGCCGCGGUAAUACGGAGGAUCCGAGCGUUAUCCGGAUUUAUUGGGUUUAAAGGGAGCGUAGGUGGAUUGUUAAGUCAGUUGUGAAAGUUUGCGGCUCAACCGUAAAAUUGCAGUUGAAACUGGCAGUCUUGAGUACAGUAGAGGUGGGCUGAAUUCGUGGUGUAGCGGUGAAAUGCUUAGAUAUCACGAAGAACUCCGAUUGCGAAGGCAGUUCACUGGACUGCAACUGACACUGAGGCUCGAAAGUGUGGGUAUCAAACAGGAUUAGAUACCCGAGUAGUC